CCGGUCAACAUUCCGGAACCACUUAAGAUGAGUGAUGGAGGGACGCAACGAGGUAGGCCGGCCUGUGAUUGGUUGAACAGGUGUGCCUUAUGUCAGCCGUUGAGGUUUGUAGGCAAAUCCGCAAACCGAGGUGAGAUAAGGCAGCGAGCCCCUGAGGCGUAAGUGAGUUGAGCCUUGUUGCCAAGAAAAGCUUCUAAACGUUGAUUCUUAAGUGCCUGUACCGCAAUCCGACACGGGUAGAUGGGUAGAAUAUACCAAGGCGAACGGGAGAACCUUCGUUAAGGAACUAGGCAAUUUAGCCUCGUAACUUCGGGAUAAGAGGUGUCUUCUGGCGUAAGUGAAUAAUGAGCGCUGGAAGAUCGCAGUGAAAUGGUUCUAGGGACUGGUUAACAAAACCACAGGUCUCUGCAAAGCCGUAAGGCGAUGUAUAGGGGCUGACACCUGCCCAGUGCCGGAAGGUUAAAGGGAGAGGUUAGUUCCCCUUCGGGGGAACGAAGCUUUGAACUGAAGCCCCGGUGAACGGCGGCCGUAACUAUAACGGUCCUAAGGUAGCGAAAUUCCUUGUCGGGUAAGUUCCGACCCGCACGAAAGGUGUAACAACUAGAACAGUGUCUCGACGAAGGACCCGGCGAAAUUGAAAUGGCUGUGAAGAUGCGGCCUACCCGCAGUAGGACAAAAAGACCCCGUGGAGCUUUACUGCAACUUGGCAUUGAGUUUGGAUUUCAUUUGUGUAGGAUAGGUGGGAGGCUAUGAAACUAGGGCGCCAGCCUUGGUGGAGCCGCCGGUGAAAUACCACCCUGAUGAACUCUAGACCCUAACCUUUAUCCGUAAUCCGGAUAAGGGACCGUGCCAGGUGGGCAGUUUGACUGGGGCGGUCGCCUCCUAAAGAGUAACGGAGGCGCCCAAAGGUUCCCUCAGGCUGAAUGGAAACCAGCCAGAGAGUGUAAAGGCAUAAGGGAGCUUAACUGCAAGGCCAACGCGCCGAGCAGAGACGAAAGUCGGGCUUAGUGAUCCCACGGUUCCGUGUGGAAGGGCCGUGGCUCAUCGGAUAAAAGCUACCCCGGGGAUAACAGGCUAGUCAGGUCCAAGAGUCCAUAUCGACGACCUGGCUCGGCACCUCGAUGUCGGCUCAUCGCAUCCUGGGGCUGGAUAAGGUCCCAAGGGUCGGGCUGUUCGCCCGUUAAAGCGGUACGCGAGCUGGGUUCAGACCGUCGUGAGACAGGUCGGUCUCUAUCCAGUGUGGGCGUAAGAGAUUUGAGAGGAGCUGCUCCUAGUACGAGAGGACCGGAGUGGACAGACCUCUGGUGUGCCAGCUGUCGUGCCAACGGCAUUGCUGGGUAGCUACGUCUGGCAGAGAUAACCGCUGAAAGCAUCUAAGCGGGAAACUUGCCUCAAGAUUAGAUCUCUAUAAUCCCGUAAAGGGAGUAAGAUCGCAGGUAGACUACCUGCUUGAUAGGCAGUAUGUGUAAGCGCAGUAAUGCGUUGAGCUAAACUGUACUAAUGAUCGAGAGCUUCCAA
Molecule: ribosomal RNA, 1518 nt
Filed under: metagenome
Description: bacterial LSU rRNA
Rfam family: Bacterial large subunit ribosomal RNA
Source: RNAcentral